CAUUCCGGGAGUUUAGAUCCUGACAGAUGGGACACGGAGAGUACACGGAGCAGUCUUUGUAUGACAGGGUUGUGUGAGAAAGGUAACGUAGGCAGGCCAAACUCUCCAGACAGUUCUACUAGUGCUGGUGCAUUGGUUUUGAAAGAGUGUGCAGUCCACAACUAUAUUUAUGUUGGUUAUGGUUGGAGGAAAAAAGAGAGUGGGGAAAAAUUGAGGAAGGAGAGGUGGGGCGUCUUCGGAUUGCCGCCAGCCCUGUGAAGCCAGUGUGCUCCCUGCCCAGCCCUGGUGCGGGUAUACUCGGGAGUAAGGGCCACCAAAGUCGGGCCAGAGGGGCUCUGUGGGCAGGGUGUGCGGCAGCGGUGCAGGAGG
Non-coding RNA from Pogona vitticeps (central bearded dragon), 369 nucleotides. Lineage: Eukaryota; Metazoa; Chordata; Lepidosauria; Squamata; Agamidae. The record is from RefSeq and is a predicted model, not a curated record.